This 900-nucleotide ribosomal RNA is filed under the name uncultured bacterium. Its description in RNAcentral is "bacterial SSU rRNA". It matches the Rfam family "Bacterial small subunit ribosomal RNA", at positions 8 to 916 of the family's 1533-position model. The record is from RNAcentral.
AGAGUUUGAUCCUGGCUCAGGACGAACGCUGGCGGCGUGCUUAACACAUGCAAGUCGUGGGCGGUCGCAAGACCGACCGGCAAACGGGUGCGUAACACGUAAGCGACCUACCGAUUCGCGGGGGAUAGCCGGCCCAACGGCCGGGUAAUACCGCAUACGCCGAACGGGCUUCAUGGCCUGUCCGGGAAACCUCCGGGGCGGAUCGAGGGGCUUGCGGCCUAUCAGCUAGUUGGCGGGGUAAUGGCCCACCAAGGCUACGACGGGUAGCUGGUCUGAGAGGAUGGCCAGCCACAUUGGGACUGAGAAACGGCCCAGACUCCUACGGGAGGCAGCAGUGGGGAAUAUUGCGCAAUGGCCGAAAGGCUGACGCAGCGACGCCGCGUGUGGGAUGACGCCCUUCGGGGUGUAAACCACUGUUGCCCGGGACGAACGGGCGGAUUUAUCCGCCGUGACGGUACCGGGUGAGGAAGCACCGGCUAACUCCGUGCCAGCAGCCGCGGUAAUACGGAGGGUGCGAGCGUUGUCCGGAAUCACUGGGCGUAAAGGGCGCGUAGGCGGCUUGGUAAGGGGGCGGUGAAAGCCCGGGGCUCAACCCCGGGUCUGCCGGACCGACUGCCGAGCUGGAGCACACUAGAGGCGGGUGGAAUUCCGGGUGUAGCGGUGGAAUGCGUAGAGAUCCGGAGGAACACCGGUGGCGAAGGCGGCCCGCUGGGGUGUGGCUGACGCUGAGGCGCGACAGCGUGGGGAGCAAACAGGAUUAGAUACCCUGGUAGUCCACGCCGUAAACGAUGGGCACUAGGUGCUUGGGGGGAGCGACCCCCCUGAGUGCCGUCGCUAACGCAUUAAGUGCCCCGCCUGGGGGAGUACGGCCGCAAGGCUGAAACUCAAAGGAAUUGACGG